AUACGAAGGGGGCAAGCGUUGUUCGGAAUAACUGGGCGUAAAGCGCACGUAGGCGGAAUGUUAAGUUAGAGGUGAAAUCCCAGGGCUCAACCCUGGAACGGCCAUUAAUACUGGCAAUCUAGAGACCGAGAGAGGUGAGUGGAAUUCCGAGUGUAGAGGUGAAAUUCGUAGAUAUUCGGAGGAACACCAGUGGCGAAGGCGGCUCACUGGCUCGGUACUGACGCUGAGGUGCGAAAGCGUGGGGAGCAAACAGGAUUAGAUACCCUAGUAGUCC
Molecule: ribosomal RNA, 274 nt
Filed under: uncultured bacterium
Lineage: Bacteria
Description: partial 16S ribosomal RNA
Rfam family: Bacterial small subunit ribosomal RNA
Source: RNAcentral